CCUGGGAUGCCCGGCACCAUGCCUCAGUCCUCACGGGAACGGCGUUGUCCAGCCCUGGGGACGGAGGACCUGGGCUCGGGCCUCCGGCCUCGCUCAGUCACCAGGAGAAGUUGCGCUCCAGCUGGGGCCCACAGUGCUUGGCUCCAGCACCCCAUGGCGCCGGGGGUCAGGUGGGGGGAACGGGUUUCUUCUCGUUGGCACCCAUUUAAAUAAUUAAAUUUCCCCAAACAAGCAGGUCUCGUGGAGGCACACAAAUCCUGCAUGAACGCCCAAAGUGAAAGCUGGCAUGAGAAGCUAAUUUCACCUUAGAGAAAGGUGGCCUGGGGUGUGUGGCGGGUGCGUGGGCGUCUCUGUGCGGUGGUGGGGGCUCUGUGGGAGGUGGGGUUCACGGGCAGACUUUCCCGCCUGGUGCCCCCCUUCCCGUGGUCUACACCACUUGCCCAGCACUGUGCUGCCCGCCUGCCCCAUGCUGAGGGCGUCUGUACCUGCUAUGGGACGACCUGCGUCACCUACCGGGUGGACAGAGAGGAACCCGGAGCUGCUAAACCGCAUUUGGCUGCUGUAGUCCAGCUCUGCACAGCCAGAGAAGCAGAGCUGAGUUCCGCUGUGCCUGGAUAGGCUGAGACCUGGUUCACACAGAAAGAACAACAAAGCAAAGCAAAGUGAAAGGUGUUAGGAGAACCCACAUUUCUCCUGCUGAAGUUGACCGGGCCUGUUCUGCCGAAGCCUGUGCCUUCUUUGUGAGCCAGGAUGACGUAGGGUGGCUUUGGCGAGGGACCGACAGCCACGGGAGCCUGAGUCUUCCUAAAGCACUGGAGCUACGGAGGUCUCACUGCCUGCCGCGUGAGAUGGCUGAGGGACUUGGAGUCAAGCUCCUGGCGCACAGUAAGCAGACAGGUCACGUUCAUCCCUCUUCCUCCGCACCUCCGGUGGAGCCUUGGAGUACAAUGGCCACAUCAACGGACAAAGCCAAAGAAGUCAUUUUAAAAGCAUGAAGCAUUUCUUGUUGGCCUCAGUGGCUUGAAAAGCUCUUCCCACCCGGCUCUGGCCAUUUGAAUAGAGGAAGGCAGAGAUCCCAGCAAGCUGACAGUGACACACACAGCCAAUUUAGCCAGCCAUGUCCGGCCUCUGUCUCUGGAGAGCACGGCCCAGCGACACAGAAGCUGCCAGGAAGGUGUGCAGACCCUCCACCCAGAACGCAGCCAGCGGACGAUGGAGCAGGGACACUGAGGACCAGCCCUGGCCUCCAGGGGACACACCGAAGCCAAGCCCCAUGCCAGAGGCUCCACCCUGCCCAUGACACUGAUGCUGAACCGUGCACGGCCCCUGUCCUUGCCUGUUUCCCGGUCUCCAACCUUCAUCCAGCCUCAGGGGCACCGACUGUGGCUUUUCUUUGACCAGACAGUUAUGAUGGCUCUCUGGGCAGCAGUAUCCUUCCUGAUUAUUGAAUCUCAGAAUCAUUUUCAUAGCCAAGACAUCAAAUAA
This is a long non-coding RNA of Fukomys damarensis (Damara mole-rat), 1485 nucleotides long. RefSeq lists it as uncharacterized. Lineage: Eukaryota; Metazoa; Chordata; Mammalia; Rodentia; Bathyergidae. The record is from RefSeq and is a predicted model, not a curated record. The transcript has 3 exons.